AUUGACAAAAAAACUGGUGGCGCAGUAUUCUAGUCAGUACUCAUGAUUCUGAAGACGGGCCUAAAAAUCCGUUAAAGGGCACAUCGAUGAAGUUCCUUGUGUCGGCUUGCUACGCCCAGUGGUGGGCUGGUGCUGGGAGUUAAGGCUUAGGGGCGAUCUGCAAUGGCAUGCGGGCGUUGACCCCUUUUCCGUGGAGACCCUUACUUGUGGUUGAAAAGUUAAGCUUCAGCAGCGAAAUAUUGCAGGCUGAACUUGCCACCUCGACUACGAUUGGGGAUUAAACCUGUUAUGCGGUAUUUUUUUAUGCUGUGAACAGAGUAGCCUGCCUUGAGUGAAAUUUGGUGGAUAAUGGAUCGGAUGCCUGAUGUAUUGGCCGAUAUAUUGGCAUUAUUGCUGUUUGAAACCUUUUUUGCAAAAGAGGCUAGGAAUCAUCUUGACUGUUGAGGAAAACUCCUAGACUGUUCUUUAUGUAAUUUGUUGGGGAUUAAAGUGUGGACUAAGUGGUAAUCAGGCCCCACCUGCGGUAACGCAGUGGUGAUGCGGUUAAAGGGAAACCGCUGGUUUGGCGACAUUCCAGUACGCGUUAGGGAAAUCCUGCCUGACCUAAGCCGCAAAAUUUACUCAAUGAAUUGCCACCCGUUUUUUAUAUGUC
Molecule: small RNA, 652 nt
Filed under: Ruminiclostridium hungatei
Lineage: Bacteria; Bacillati; Bacillota; Clostridia; Eubacteriales; Oscillospiraceae
Source: RNAcentral